GUAUAUUUGAAAGUCAAUGACUUCUAUUAAAAAAAAGAAAAAAGAAAUCUAGAACUUUACAAUCUUUUUUUUAAUGCCCCUAUUUAUAUACAAAAGAAGAUGUCAUAUGAUUGCCAAAGAUACAACUCUCCACAAGAAACCAAGUGACACAGAAAUUAACAGCUACAGGUCAUUGUAAGGCCUUCAACAAUGAGCAAAGCCCAUACCGCAUAUUCAGCUAUAAAAGGCACUGAAAUGACAAAUGAAAUAUUAUGCAUGGUGGGGGUGAAAUAAAAAGUGUCUUCUGACCCC
Molecule: long non-coding RNA, 291 nt
Filed under: Mytilus galloprovincialis (Mediterranean mussel)
Lineage: Eukaryota; Metazoa; Mollusca; Bivalvia; Mytilida; Mytilidae
Source: RNAcentral